This 479-nucleotide ribosomal RNA is filed under the name uncultured bacterium. RNAcentral's name for it is "partial 16S ribosomal RNA". It matches the Rfam family "Bacterial small subunit ribosomal RNA", at positions 28 to 507 of the family's 1533-position model. The record is from RNAcentral.
GACGAACGCUGGCGGCGCGCUUAACACAUGCAAGUCGAGCGAUGAAAUUUCGACAGAUCCCUUCGGGGUGAAGAUGAAAUGGAUUAGCGGCGGACGGGUGAGUAACACGUGAGUAACCUGCCUUUGACAUUGGGAUAGCCUCGGGAAACUGGGAUUAAUACCAAAUGACACUAACUGAUCACAUGAUCAAUUAGUCAAAGAAAUUCGGUCAAAGAUGGACUCGCGGCUGAUUAGCUAGUUGGUGAGGUAACGGCCCACCAAGGCGACGAUCAGUAGCCGGCCUGAGAGGGUGAUCGGCCACAUUGGAACUGAGACCCGGUCCAAACUCCUACGGGAGGCAGCAGUGGGGAAUAUUGCACAAUGGGGGAAACCCUGAUGCAGCGACGCCGCGUGAGCGAAGAAGGCCUUCGGGUCGUAAAGCUCUUUUAUGAGGGAAGAUAAUGACGGUACCUCAAGAAAAAGCCCCGGCUAACUACGUG